Molecule: microRNA precursor, 167 nt
Filed under: Panax ginseng (ginseng)
Lineage: Eukaryota; Viridiplantae; Streptophyta; Magnoliopsida; Apiales; Araliaceae
Description: MIR6140 microRNA precursor family
Rfam family: MIR6140 microRNA precursor family
Source: Rfam by way of RNAcentral
ACACAAACUAUUCUACAAACAUUUUACAAAUUGUUGAUGUGACAUACUCCACAUCAACAUAUUGAUCAACAAAUUGCUUCACUGUAGUCUUUCGGGCCCCACACAAUAUGAUGCGAUGGAAUAUGCCACAUCAGCAGUUUAUAAAAUGUUUGUAGAAUAGUUUGUGU